GGUGGAAGGAUGGAGGAAUGAAAGAAGGAAGCGAGGGAGGGAGAAGGGAAGAGGGAGGCUGGCUUACCUGGCCACCCCUGCCGCCACUCCUGUUCCCCUUUACCUCCCCCUGCUCUUUCCUGUUUGUCACAGGAUUUUUCACCUUCCUACAUAAAGUGUAAGUUGCCUGUUUAUUGCCUUUCUUGUAUCAAGUGCAUCUCCCUUGUUAGAACACAAGCUCCCAACGGGCAGUGCUCUUUGCCUGUUCUGGUCAGGACUCUGUUCCGCUGGGAUCUGGACCCGUGCCUGGUACACAGUAGGUAUUCAACAAAUACGUGUCGGAUGAACGGCCCGAUGGAAGACAGACCUGCCACCUCCCGUGCUGCCCUCCUGAGAGGAAGGACAAAGAGGAGGAAAAGGAGAGAAGAGGAGGGAGGGGAGAGGGCCAGGGAGGAAGGCGGAGAGGGCGGGAGAGAGCCCAGGGCUGGGACCCCCUCCCCACACACCUCCCCAGUUGCUGGGGGAGCCAUCCCUGAGUGGUCAGUCCCGAGAGGCAUGGGAUUAGGAGCUCCCAGGGACGUGGGACCCUAGGCAAGGCGCCCCAGGGUCGGCAAAGAUCCAAAUCUGGAAGCAGACUGCCUGUGGACUUCCAGGAACUCAGAGGGCUUGGGUCCCAGCGCUCAGCGGAGCCCUGGACGGCGGCAGCCCACAGGGCCUUUCCUCCCACACACCUGCAUUCUGGGAAACACCUAGGCCUCCAAGAUUCGGCAGAAAUUCUGGGAGGGAGGGAGAGAGGGAGGCAGCAGGGACUGCAUGUCCACCUUCGGCCUCCAGGAGGAAGUUGUGGGGCUUCCGGGGGCCCUGUCCUCCCUUAACCCUGUCCCUGCAGCUGGGGACGCCUCGUCCCAGCUUCCUCCUUUGCUCCUGUCCAUGUCCCUGAAGGAAACAGAAACAGAAAGAGCCAAAAAGAGGGAGAGGAAGAAGGAGACUUCUUUUUCUGGGAGUUCUAUCCUCUCCCAGGAAAGCAAGUGUCUCCUUUUUCAGAGAGGGAGCCUGAGGCCUGAGAACAGUUUCCUAGCCAGAGUGAUGCAGCAAGGAGGCAGCAGAGCCAGAAAAGAAGACGAAGAGAGCCCAUGACCACACUGAUGUGCGUGGAUGGAACGGUGCUGGCCACAGAGCCAAUCCCUGGGCCCCGGCUUCCUCAGCUCUGGAGGAGGGUGCCAAGACCUGCCUACUCGAGACUAUUUCAAGGAGCUUGGAAAAGUCUGGGGAGUGGACAGCGUGCAGCACAGAUGGUGGGUCACGAAGGGGUGCCCUGGGGGCUCCAGAUGGAGGAAGUCAGAGGAACAGAUGCCGGGAGCCCCCCUCUGUGGUCAGUGCUGCAGGCCUGUCUCCAGCAGGUGGAAAUAGCCAAAAUGUUGAUGGUGGCCAUGAUCUACACCACACCCUGGGCCACCUACUUCACAUUCAUUAGCUCUAACCAAAGGUCUCCUUCAGAUGGUUACUAUAGAUCCGGUGUUAGAGAAGAGAAAAUUGAGGUUCAAAAAGGUAAGUGACCCGUUGAAGGUCACACAGGUAGUGGCGGAGCUGGGAUGUGAACACGGCUCGUUCGGAAUCAGAAGUCCAUGCGCUUUCCGCACUGCAGUGUGCUGUUAAAUGUUAACAACGGUGCUGGUGUUUCUCCCCGCACCCCUCUGUGUGGAUGAGCUGUGGUGGGGAAGAGUAGGAAAUGAUCUUCACUGUCUUCACGGAGCCCUGUGUCAACUCACCCACCUCAAAGCUGCAGCUGCAGAAAAUUCUGGAACCCACCCUUCAGCUCUCCUGUGCCAGGAAAGUGCUCCCUCCGCCCUUUCUCUUCUCUCUGUCCCCUGCACCUCCCUCCUCCCUUCUUUCUGUCUCUAGUGAACUUUUUACCAAAGUAUAAUAUACAUACAGAACAUUACACUUAC
This is an RNA transcript of Zalophus californianus (California sea lion), 1928 nucleotides long. RefSeq lists it as uncharacterized. The transcript is spliced from 2 exons. Lineage: Eukaryota; Metazoa; Chordata; Mammalia; Carnivora; Otariidae. The record is from RefSeq and is a predicted model, not a curated record.